This is a small nuclear RNA of Otolemur garnettii (small-eared galago), 104 nucleotides long. NCBI's taxonomy places the organism in Eukaryota, Metazoa, Chordata, Mammalia, Primates, Galagidae. The record is from Ensembl.
CUUGCUUUGGCAAGUUAUACAAUACCCAAAUUGGAAUGAUACAGAGAUUACCAUGGACCUUGUACAAAGAUCACACGCAAAGGUGUGAAGCUGUCCACAUUUUU